GAGGGGCUAGCUCAGUUGGUAGAGCACGAGACUUCAAAUCUCAGGGUUGUGGGUUCAAGCCAUAAACAUAUUUCC
Non-coding RNA from Podarcis lilfordi (Lilford's wall lizard), 75 nucleotides. The record is from the annotation of a GenBank genome assembly. NCBI's taxonomy places the organism in Eukaryota, Metazoa, Chordata, Lepidosauria, Squamata, Lacertidae.